UAAAAGGGUCCGUUGGCUAAAUAUGCUACGCUCACCCAUUGAAUGGUGAGUGCUGUAUGGCUAUCAAGACAUAUGGCUGAUGUAAUUUGUGGGAACUUAUAGGGUUGGCUCCCUUUGGGGUGCCGACCCUCC
This 132-nucleotide small nuclear RNA is filed under the name Helianthus annuus (common sunflower). RNAcentral describes it as "U11 spliceosomal RNA". It matches the Rfam family "U11 spliceosomal RNA". The record is from RNAcentral. Lineage: Eukaryota; Viridiplantae; Streptophyta; Magnoliopsida; Asterales; Asteraceae.